UACGUAGGCAGCAAGCGUUGUUCGGAAUUACUGGGCGUAAAGAGUGUGUAGGCGGUGCUCUAAGUCUGUUGUGAAAUCUCCCGGCUUAACUGGGAGGGUGCGGCGGAAACUGGAAUGCUAGAGGGUGGGAGAGGAAAGCGGAAUUCCUGGUGUAGCGGUGAAAUGCGUAGAUAUGCGGAGGAACACCGAUGGCGAAGGCAAUCCCCUGGGCCGGCACUGACGCUCAUGCACGAAAGCGUGGGGAGCAAACAGG
This 253-nucleotide ribosomal RNA is filed under the name uncultured bacterium. RNAcentral describes it as "partial 16S ribosomal RNA". It matches the Rfam family "Bacterial small subunit ribosomal RNA", at positions 524 to 776 of the family's 1533-position model. The record is from RNAcentral.